UAGGCAGCUAGAGCUGUCCGUUUUGAUAGAAACCUGUGCGCAGGCGCAGAAAGGCACGGGACUGGGCUGGGUGUUUGCUACGCGGGGCUACCGGAUCGGUCGGAAAUGGCAGAGGUGGAGGAGACACUGAAGCGACUGCAGAGCCAGAAGGGAGUGCAGGGAAUCAUCGUCGUGAACACAGAAGGUACACGC
Molecule: long non-coding RNA, 192 nt
Organism: Cercocebus atys (sooty mangabey)
Lineage: Eukaryota; Metazoa; Chordata; Mammalia; Primates; Cercopithecidae
Exons: 2
Source: RefSeq, a predicted model, not a curated record